Molecule: unclassified non-coding RNA, 966 nt
Filed under: Hevea brasiliensis (rubber tree)
Lineage: Eukaryota; Viridiplantae; Streptophyta; Magnoliopsida; Malpighiales; Euphorbiaceae
Source: RNAcentral
AAAACAAUUCAGAAGGAAAUAUGCAACACCAACCACACCCCAUACUCCAUAGAUCCCAGAUAGCAAACUCACCAAUUUAGGUGGAUUUGCUACUUGAUUGCUGGUUACUGCAUUUACCCAUGUUUGAUUACACAUUUUUCCUCCAUGAUCUUAAACAUAAAAAUGUCCCAAGCUGGCAGAAGGGCAAAAGGGGCGUUCUCUUAAUUAUGCUAAUCAAAUUGUUGUCUGAUUAUGCUAAUCAAAUUGUUGUCUGAGUUGCAUCUCUGUUUCACUUUUCCACGUAGCAUGAGAUGAUUGUCCCUUCAUCCGCUUGCUUUUUUCUUUAUCUUUGAUCGUCGACCCCUUCUUCUUGGGCUCUUUGCUUGUGUCGUUGGGUGGCCUAUCGCCACAAACCGGACAGACCAUUCCACGUGCACUGGAGUAGGUCUUGGGUAUUCCACAUUGCAAGCACAUCCUCAGUAGUUCUGCAGCAUCUUCUGCAUUGGGCUUGGUUGCGGUUGGCACUCGUUUUCCUCCAUCCUGUGUUGUGCUUGGAGCUGAUGAUGUUGGAGGUUGGUUAGCCUCAAUAUCACUUCUUACUCGCUCAUGAAUUCCAACAAGUUGAGCUUUGGCCUCCACAACAACACCAGCAGGUAAGUCUUUCUUCUCCUUCCUAUUCCUCCAGCGUCCGUGCUUCCCUAGCUGGUUCUCAACGUCUCUUGCACUAGCCUGCUCUUCCACGCAAUUAUUAAGAAACUGUGGAGGACCUGAAAUUUCGGAGAAGGCGUCGAGCGCAGAGGGAAGGCCGGAUGAUCCAUUGGACGGAGCAGAUUGGUCAAAGACUGAUUUGUAGGAAAGCGAACGGCCGCCGGCGACGGCGGAGGAAUCAUCGCCUUCAUCGUCGUCGUCAGAAGAGACUCGGUAAUCGUCCGACAGUGGUUCUUCCUCUUCUUCGGCGGAAGAAUAGCCUUGAAUGAGAGACAAGCU